GCUGAUAGACCAAACAUGGCAUCAGUAGUUCUGAUGCUAAGCAGUUACUCUCUUACUCUACCUGUACCCUCACGACCGGCUUUUUUAAUGCUCAGUAGCAUUGAAUCAGAUAUAUCAUCUUCACUGUGGUAUAAUUCCAAGGCAUCAAUGAACGACGUUUCAAUUACAGAACUGGUUCCCCGUUAAAUGUUUGACAAGGUUCAUGUUUUAGUUUGUUAUGUGUUCUUGUAUAUUAUUGAUUUUCAAUUUGAAUUUUGAUAUAUUUACUGUAAAAAAAUUGCAGAAUUUGUGUACUUGAUUUGUGAUAUAAAAUAGAUAUGAAAUAUAUAAAGUAGAAUUCGUAAUCUUUUUAGAACUGCAAUCACACAUUUAUGAUAUAAAGUCGAUAUAACAGUAGAAUUCGUAAUCUUUUUUCUUGAUUAACUGCAAUUACACAUUCAAAUACGAAAUUUGAAUGUGUAAAAGAGGGACUAGAUUUUUCUCUCCGUCUCCUUAUCCACAAAGCAAUUAUUCAAUGAAAUUAGUCAAUAUUAGGAUUAAGAAAAGAGAUGGGACCUACUUAUUUAUAUAGAAUUUUGUAGAUCUUCCCAUGGCAAGUCCAUUAGAGAUGUACAUACUCGUUGCACAUGUGAUCACAUGAACUCAAAUUAGACUCCAUACACAUAUUUUUAAACUAUAUUUAUUCGGUCUACUUUUUCAAAUUAAAACAGUCAACAAUUCAUAGUAGCUUAUAUUAAAAUUUUUAACAUUUAACUUGUGUUUGCAUCAUCAGUAAUCCACUGCUUUGCUCUGAUAAUACCAACAAUGCUUAUUAAAUCUCGUGAAUUUGACUAAAUUGUAAUUUAUUUAGAAUGGUCCGUCUUAUUCGAUUUAAUAAUUGUAGUUUUGUUUCUUUUUUUCUUAUCCCUUCGUAUUAGAAUAUUGUUUGGACAAUGCCUCUUUGAAGAUAAAAUUCAAAGUUGUCGUUUUGUAUCAUUGUAUGAAACUCCAGUCAAAUAAACGGACAAAAAAAAGAUGAUAGCGUGUUCCUGUCACAUCAAUAUUUUAAUACACUGUUAUUAUAUUUGUACGUGUUUAAAAAAAAUGUUAAUUAAUCUAUAAAUCUCUACUGUUUGCAAUUUAGUUGAUAAUGUAAUUGGAAUGUGUACAAAGAGCUUUUGAAUUUACUUCGUACUAAAUAUAUUUUUAAUGGGAAGCGAAAAUUUUAAUUGUGACUAAAUUUUCAGUCCAAUAAUUUGGAGAGUAAAAGAUAUAUUAUUAAAUUUAUAGUUUGUUAAAAGAAAACGUAGUCUUAAUUUCAUUAAAGAAAAACAGUGAUAAUAUUAAUUAUUUAUUUGGUUUCGUGUCUGAAAAUAAAUAACUUUUCUAAUAAGAUAUUAUUGCCUUUAAACAUACGGAUUGGAUAGGCUUUGACAUAGCUGGGCCGAGCUACAUGGCAGUUAAUUGCCCAGUGGUCCAAAUAAUUUAAUUGGGAGAAAUUAACGACGCAGCGGACUGAAAUUGUAAAACGUAAGCCCAUGUAUUCUGGACCGGCUUUUGUAUCCCAAAUACCCAUGACCUAGAAAUAGGAUGUGUCCCUAGCCACUGAACCGAUGGCACCGGCACCACCUGCAAUCACCACCAUCACUAUGGAAAUUGUCGCCGUAGGUGGCGAUGUAUCUCGCCAUAGCCAUUCUUUCCGUUUCUUCUACCGUCACCAACCGCUUUCUCCAUUUCCAUAAUCACCAAUUCUCCUGGGAUUUUAGCCAGCUCCAAAUUAGUUAAAUUUAGUUAAAGUUUUAGCUAAAAUUAAAGAAGUUUUGGCUAUAAUCCCUUUUGUGAGUAGAUGAAAUUAAUUUCAAAUUUUCAAUAUUAUUACCCAUUCUUUGAAGUCUAUUAUAUGGAUUAUUCGAGUCCCUUUCACAUUUAUAAUUAAGACCACUCAUAAAAGGCAAUACUUUCAAUACCUUCUCAUUCUUCUUCUUCUUAUUAUUAUUAUUAUUGUAGAGCAUUGAUUCUGAUGGGAGUGGAAAUACUUACUUUUACUCUAUUUACUUUUUUUUUUUUUUCUUUUUUUUUUGGAAACCAUAACCAAGACAGCGGUGAAAUUAUGACUUUUUGUUCUGUUGGACCAAGUCGUCGCUUGAUCAAAUGGGCCUGAGCCGCAUAGAAGGAUUAAGGAAGAGUGCAGAGAUUGGCUGUAAGGAAAGACAAUAUAAAGUAGGUAGUGCAGUGAAUACAAUUCACAAGCGUAAUAAAGUCAAUAAAGUGAUAGGUUGGUGACUGGAAACUGCGUUAUUGUUAAUGAGAAUUUAACAAUCCAUUCAGUUCAAUUUUGGGUUUGGGGCUUCCUUUUCCACAUCCUGCAAUAUCCCAUCUCAACUGCUCAUGAAUCAAACUUGCGAAUGGUAUAACCAUGCGCUGCAAAGAUUUUGUUUGUCUUAUUUUCCAUCUUCUGAUUGGCAUCAACCUUGCCAAUGCUCUGUUGAAAUGUUACGACACAGGAAACUUCACAGCCAACAGUACAUACGCCAAUAACCGAGCUCUCAUCCUCUCUUCUUUAGCUUCAAACGUCACAGCGAAUGGAGGUUUCUACACCACUACUGUAGGCCAAGGGGCGGAUAAAAUUUAUGGUCUGGUGCUUUGCAGAUUUGGCUCUUCAUCAGAAGAUUGUUCCAAAUGGGUCAAUGAUGCAAUUGAAGAGAUAACCACAAACUGUCCUAACCAGAAAGAAGCAGUGAUAUGGGCUGGGAAUCCUUGCACAAUACACUACGCGAAUCGCUCUUUUUUCGGACAGCUGGAGAUAGACCCUACCGAUGCUGGCUAUAAUACCGGUAACCUUUCGUCUAAUAUUAAUAUGUCUGAGUUUGAUCAAACUUGGACUAGUUUGAUGGAAAGCUUAGCAACGAAAGCUUCUAUGUCCAAUUCUACGCUUAAGACUGCGACAGAAGAAGCAGACGUCAAGCCCCUUGAAAGAAUAUUUGCACAAAUGCAGUGUACUCCUGAUUUAUCCUCGAGCGAUUGCAGCUAUUGUCUACGACAGGCAGCAAGUGCUUAUAAUAACUGUUGCCAUGGGAAGCAAGGAGGUUAUGUUACGAAGCCUAGUUGUACACUCCGAUGGGAUUUGUACCCAUUCUAUACUCCUAUAGCUGAACCUCCAACACCAUCUCCUCCACCUCUACUUAGUAUUUCUCCCCCUUCAAUCAAUAAUACAAUGAAAGGUAGCUAUUGUUAAUUAGUUCACUUUCAUUUUGUGUUAAGCAUAUCUAUCUUAUUUUUUCUUUUAUUUGGACUUUUGUCCAUUAAUUUGUUGUUAAUUUUUCUAAAUUAGCCAUAAUUUAAUGGGAUCAGACUGGCUUUUGCAGGGGAGAAGAGCAAUGAAGCACGUACGAUUGCUAUCAUAGUUGUUCCAAUAAUUGUCGGCACUGUAAUUCUUGUCAUCUGUUUCUGCAUCUUUUUAAGAGUUCGGAAGCCAAGGGAAAGUUUUGAAAGUAAGUAAAUAUUGGCUUACUUAAAUUCCAUUAUUAUUUUCAAAACCUGUGAUAGAAAAGCCAUUGAGAUGUUGUGCACUAACCAUUGGCUUUGCACCUCUCAUAAAGCUGAUGAAAUAAAAAAUGUGGAGUCAUUGCAAUUCGAUUUUGGGACUAUUAGAGUUGCAACAAAUAACUUUUCUGAAGAAAAUAAGCUUGGACAAGGUGGAUUUGGUGCUGUUUACAAGGGCACGCUUUCUGAUGGACGAGACAUAGCAGUGAAAAGGCUUUCUAAAGAUUCAGGACAAGGAGAUUUGGAAUUUAAAAAUGAAGUUCUACUGGUGGCCAAGCUUCAACACCGGAAUUUGGUUAGGCUUUUGGGAUUUUGCUUGGAAGGAAAAGAAAGGCUCCUUAUAUAUGAGUUUGUGCCUAACACCAGCCUCGAUCAUUUCCUUUUUAGUAAGGAUGCAAAUCUACUUUGUUUUUGUUUUAACUUAAUAUUUCAGAUAACAUAGUUUGAAAAAAUUGAGAUAAUUGUAUGAAUGUAUAGAUCAAAACAGGCGGCAAAUGCAUUUGGAUUGGCAUAGGCGUUAUAAGAUCAUUGGUGGUAUUGCUAAAGGACUUCUUUACCUUCACGAGGAUUCUCGGUUACGGAUAAUUCACCGUGACAUGAAAGCGAGCAAUAUUUUGCUAGAUGCAGAGAUGAACCCGAAAAUUGCAGAUUUUGGCAUGGCAAGAUUGUUUGCGGUGGAUCAAACUCAAGGCAAUACAAGUAGAAUUGUGGGUACCCAGUAAGUAUCUAAACAACACAAAAAAUAAUGAUAAUAAUAAAUAAAUAAAACAUCGUUCAAUACAUAUUUAAAAUCUAAACUUAUGUAAAUUUGUAUACAGUGGCUAUAUGGCUCCAGAGUAUGCAAUGCAUGGUCAAUUCUCAGUUAAAUCAGACGUAUUUAGCUUUGGUGUGCUGCUUUUAGAGAUUGUAUGCGGUCAAAAGAAUAGUAACUUCCGUAAUGGGGAGAAUGUAGAAGAUAUUUUGAGCUAUGUAAGUAUAUAAUUCUGUGAUCCAACGGACGGUCUCUUCAAUCGUCCUAAAUGAAACCUUAAUUGAUAAACCUUACAUGCAGGCAUGGAAAAACUGGAGGGAAGGGACAUACAUGAAUCUUAUAGAUCCUAUACUGAGAACAUCUGGCUCGACAAAUGAAAUGAUGAGGUGCAUCCACAUUGGAUUACUGUGCGUUCAAGAAAAUGUGGCUGAUAGGCCAAACAUGGCAUCAGUAGUUCUGAUGCUAAGCAGCUAUUCUCUUACUCUACCUGUACCCUCAAAACCAGCAUUUUUUAUGCACAGCAGCACUCAAUCAGAUGUGUCUUCUUCACUGGGGUGUAGCUCCAGGGCGUCAGAAACAGAGUCCUCACAAUUUAAAAUUGGAACUCUUCCAUUAUCAGUGAAUGAAGUUUCAAUU
RNAcentral lists this long non-coding RNA (4909 nucleotides) under Jatropha curcas. RNAcentral describes it as "long non-coding RNA (JCUR_LNC003325)". The record is from RNAcentral. Lineage: Eukaryota; Viridiplantae; Streptophyta; Magnoliopsida; Malpighiales; Euphorbiaceae.